Molecule: non-coding RNA, 915 nt
Organism: Arvicanthis niloticus (Nile rat)
Lineage: Eukaryota; Metazoa; Chordata; Mammalia; Rodentia; Muridae
Source: RefSeq, a predicted model, not a curated record
UCACUUGUCCCAGGGAUCAUCAAUGGAAAGCUGAAAAUGAGUAUUAAUAAUGUUGGUGAGCAUGGUGCCACCUUGACCUGUGGAUUCAAUUCAGCAACUCCAAAAUCUGCAGCCUCCGUCUAUGGAGGCCUUCUGGAGGCAGUCACCUGCGUCCUGCCCUGGCUGUCCUGAAAUUCUCUCUAUAGACCAGGCUGGCCUCAAACUUGGAGGACCACUUGCCUCUGCUUCUGCCUCCUGAGUGGUGGCAUUAAAGGUGCAGGUGCACGGCCUCCAUGAGCUCCUGGGCAGGCAGAAGCCAGAGAGAGUGAGCUAUUCACUGACACCUACCCCUAGGGGCCCAUCUCCUCCCCUGGAUUGAAGCUUCCAAGGCAAAACCCAGGGGUUCAUAGAGGCAAACGUGUACACAUGGGUGUCUGCAUUUCUGCGUGCAUGUGUGAGCACAUAUGGAUGUAGGGUGUAAACACUGCUAGUUAGCAUGGGUGUCCAGACUUCCCCAAUCCCCAGUCCUCACCUCCCGGAAACAGUCCUGCAGCUCUGAGAAUUCAGGCAGGCUGACGCCUACAGUAGUGAUGAUUUCCUCCAGGGUCUCAACUGGCUUUGCCCAGCGGGUCUGUGUGAACUUCUUAAACAGCGGCUGGGACAGGCGAGAGAGGCAGGAUGUCUGGUCACUCCCAGAAAGGAAGGGCGGCUAAGCGCAGACACCCUCACAUAGACACUCAUGACCAGCAGGGGUCCCAAGGGCUUUCCAGGAGCUGGCUGGCUGUCAGGUCCCUGCCCUCAGAUCGGAAGCAGAGGCAGUCUGUGUGUACCCCUCUUCCAAGGUCACCCAGCUGUGGCUCGGGAGAGCCAAAAUGAGCCUGUCUGCAGCCCCGAGGUCUUUUCCACUGCCUCCUUCUUAAAUAAAUAAAUUCCUGC